Cricetulus griseus (Chinese hamster) is the source of this 697-nucleotide non-coding RNA. The record is from RefSeq and is a predicted model, not a curated record. Lineage: Eukaryota; Metazoa; Chordata; Mammalia; Rodentia; Cricetidae.
AUCUCCUAUCAACAUGUGGCUCUGGUACCUGAGUAAGUCAGAAGAGGAUGUUAAUCUCAUGAACUGGAGUUCCAAUCAUUGUGAGAAACCUGGUGGGUGCUGAUAAAUGAACUUCAGUCCUCUGCAAAAGCAACAAGAGGACUACAGGACUCUGCCCAUUGCUUGGCUGUGGAUCUCUGCAUCUGCUUCUAUCAGUUACUGGAUGAAGGCUCUGUGAUGACAAUUAGCUAGUCACCAAUCUGAUUACAGGAAAAGGCCAGUUCAGACACCCUCUACACUAUUGCUAGGAGUCUUAGCUGGGGUCAUCCUUGUGGAUUCCUAGGAGUUUUUUUGGCACCACUUUUCUUCCUAACCCCAAAAUGCAUCCACCACCAAGAAAUGUCUUUCCUUAAGUUCCCCCUCUGUCCUGCCCCCAGCCCACCUCUAGUGUCCAGUCCACCAAAUACACUUUUAAAACCAGACUUCCUAAGCUGGAGGUAGACAGAAUAUGCUUAUAUUUUUGAUUAUUGCUUGAAUUCAGUAUUGAAGAAGUUAAAAUCUUUUUAAUCAUGUUAUAUGGUUAUAUUAGCAAAGGGAAACACAUAUGGUAUUCCAUAUAUAAGAGAUCAUGGAAAACUGCCCACUCUUAUUUCAUUUGUGUUUCCAGUAUGUCUUUUCUUAAUUGAUUUUUAUUUAAAUUAAAAACAAUCUUAUUUUA